RNAcentral lists this ribosomal RNA (3057 nucleotides) under Thiovibrio frasassiensis. RNAcentral's name for it is "Bacterial large subunit ribosomal RNA". It matches the Rfam family "Bacterial large subunit ribosomal RNA". Lineage: Bacteria; Pseudomonadati; Thermodesulfobacteriota; Desulfobulbia; Desulfobulbales; Thiovibrionaceae. The record is from Rfam by way of RNAcentral.
GGUCAAGCUACUAAGGGCAGACGGAGGAUGCCUGGGUACCGGGAGGCGAAGAAGGACGCGGUAAGCUGCGAUAAGCUUCGGGGAGCUGCUAACAGGCUUUGAACCGGAGAUUUCCGAAUGGGGAAACCCGGCCAGGGUUAUACCUGGUCAUCGUGCACUGAAUACAUAGGUGUAACGAGGCGAACGCAGGGAAUUGAAACAUCUAAGUACCUGCAGGAGUAGAAAUCAAUUUAGAGAUUCCGUCAGUAGCGGCGAGCGAAAGCGGAACAGCCCAAACCGAGUCAUUUAUGGCUCGGGGUUGUGGGGCCCCGAUAUGGGAUUGCGAAUGGAUAGCAGAAGGGUAUGGAAAGGCCCACCACAGACGGUGAUAGUCCGGUAUGCGAAAUCUUGAAGCACCCUAGGGUGUCCCCGAGUACCACGAGGCACGUGAAACCUAGUGGGAAUCUGGGAGGACCAUCUUCCAAGGCUAAAUACUACCCGGUGACCGAUAGUGAACUAGUACCGUGAGGGAAAGGUGAAAAGAACGGGGGGACCCGAGUGAAAUAGAACCUGAAACCGUCUGUCUACAAGCAGUGGAAGCACGAUGUCGCAAGACCGUGUAACCGCGUGCCUUUUGCAUAAUGAGUCAGCGACUUACCCUAUGCAGCGAGGUUAAGCCGAAAGGUGUAGCCGUAGCGAAAGCGAGUCUUAAUAGGGCGACAAGUUGCAUGGGGUAGACCCGAAGCCGGGUGAUCUAUCCAUGACCAGGGUGAAGCGAAGGUAAUACUUCGUGGAGGCCCGAACCGAUAUAGGUUGAAAACUGUUCGGAUGAGUUGUGGCUAGGAGUGAAAGGCUAAUCAAACUCGGUGAUAGCUGGUUUUCCUCGAAAUAUAUUUAGGUAUAGCCUCGCAUGAUGACUGACGGAGGUAGAGCACUGACAAGACUAGGGGUCCCCACAGGAUUACCAACUCUUAUCAAACUCCGAAUGCCGUCAAGUUCAAGUGCGGGAGUCAGACUGCGGGAGAUAAGUUCCGUGGUCAAAAGGGAAAGAGCCCAGACCAUCAGCUAAGGUCCCUAAAUGCAUGCUAAGUGGUAAAGGAUGUGGAACUGUUUAGACAAUCAGGAGGUUGGCUUAGAAGCAGCAAUCCUUUAAAGAAAGCGUAAUAGCUCACUGAUCGAAUGGGUCUGCGCCGAAAAUUCAACGGGGCUUAAGCAUGCUACCGAAGCUAUGGAUAACGCGCAAGCGUUAUGGUAGAGGAACAUUGUAGUAACCUGAGAAGGUACACCGUAAGGAGUGCUGGAGGACCUACAAGAGCUUAUGCUGACACGAGUAGCGAAAAUGCGGGUGAGAAACCCGCACGCCGAAAACCUAAGGUUUCCUGAGUAAAGUUAAUCUGCUCAGGGUUAGUCGGCCCCUAAGGCGAGGCCGAGAGGCGUAGUCGAUGGAAAACGGGUUAAUAUCCCCGUACCAUUUUAUCAGCGUUUGAGCGAAGGGGGGACGCAGANNNNNNNNNNNNNNNNNNNNNNNNNNNNNNNNNNNNNNNNNNNNNNNNNNNNNNNNNNNNNNNNNNNNNNNNNNNNNNNNNNNNNNNNNNNNNNNNNNNNGGGUAGGUCAUCCGGGCGUUGGUUGUCCCGGUUUAAAUGUGUAGGCGGAGGACCCAGGCAAAUCCAGGUCCUUGUUAACGCUGAGGCAUGAUGACGAUGCGGUUUACCGCAAUAAAGUGAUUGAUCCCAUGCUGCCAGGAAAAGCCUCGUAGUGAGUUGAUAAAGUGACCGUACCGUAAACCGACACAGGUAGGUAGGAAGAGUAUUCCAAGGCGCUUGAGAGAACUCUGGUUAAGGAACUCGGCAAAAUAACACCGUAACUUCGGGAGAAGGUGUGCCCUCGUAGCGUGAAGUGACUUGCUCAUGGAGCGUAAGGGGGUUGCAGUGAAAUGGGGGGAGCGACUGUUUACUAAAAACACAGGACUCUGCGAAGUCGAAAGACGCAGUAUAGGGUCUGACGCCUGCCCGGUGCUGGAAGGUUAAGGGGAAAUGUUAGUCGCAAGGCGAAGCUUUGAACCGAAGCCCCAGUAAACGGCGGCCGUAACUAUAACGGUCCUAAGGUAGCGAAAUUCCUUGUCGGGUAAGUUCCGACCUGCACGAAUGGCGUAACGAUUUCCCCACUGUCUCAACCAGGGACUCAGCGAAACUGUAACACCGGUGAAGAUGCCGGUUACCCGCAUCAAGACAGAAAGACCCCGUGCACCUUUACUAUAGCUUGGCAUUGGAGUUUGGAAUAAUUUGUGUAGGAUAGGUGGGAGACUGUGAAGCAGGGACGCUAGUUCUUGCGGAGUCAACCUUGAAAUACCACCCUGAUUAUUUUAGGCUUCUAACCACGACCCGUAAUCCGGGUCUGGGACAGUGUCUGGUGGGUAGUUUGACUGGGGCGGUCGCCUCCUAAAGUGUAACGGAGGCGCGCGAAGGUUCCCUCAGGCUGAUUGGAAACCAGCCGUAGAGUGUAAAGGCAUAAGGGAGCUUGACUGCGAGACUGACAAGUCGAGCAGGUACGAAAGUAGGUCUUAGUGAUCCGGCGAUCCCGUAUGGAAGGGUCGUCGCUCAACGGAUAAAAGGUACGCCGGGGAUAACAGGCUUAUCUCCCCCAAGAGUCCAUAUCGACGGGGAGGUUUGGCACCUCGAUGUCGGCUCAUCGCAUCCUGGGGCUGGAGCAGGUCCCAAGGGUUUGGCUGUUCGCCAAUUAAAGCGGUACGCGAGCUGGGUUUAAAACGUCGUGAGACAGUUUGGUCCUUAUCUGAUGUGGGCGUAGGAUAUUUGAGGAGAGCUGUUCCUAGUACGAGAGGACCGGAAUGGACGAACCGCUGGUGCUCCUGUUGUCUCGCCAGAGGCAUGGCAGGGUAGCUACGUUCGGAAGGGAUAACCGCUGAAAGCAUCUAAGCGGGAAGCCUACUCCAAGAUUAGAUAUCCCGUGGGAUAACCCACCUAAAGGCUCGUUGAAGACUACAACGUUGAUAGGCCAGAUGUGGAAGUGUGGCAACACACGGAGCUUACUGGUACUAAUAAGCCGUGCGGCUUGACCAU